CUUGAAAUAGCGCUAGACGUCCUUUUUUGCCUUGGCUAGAUGUUAAUUUGCAUUUCAUAUAUUUGAUUUCAGUAGUUGAGGAGGUGAGAGUUGGUAAGUGAGGUAAGAAGCAGACAUCUUCUUACUUGUUGGAGUUUGGGAAAGUGACUAAAGCCAAAUGUUCUAUGAAAGGAAUAAAUAAAUGUGGUCUACUGAUAGACCGAAGGAGCAGUGCCACCAGCUUCUUGGCAAACAUGACCCAUUAUUCUGCUGCCUCAUGAGAAAAUGUCAUCAAAAUUGGACGGCUGCCAUUAACGUAAACCUCAGCAAUGAUUAAUCAUGUACAGUGGCGAUGUUUCCAUUCAGCCUACACGUUUAGCGCUCAACAUCCUAUUUGUGGUCAGAAAGGCAGCACUGUGUACGUCAUCUGUGUGACACUCCGUAAUGUUUUUUGGCGCACAGACCAGUCGGAGGACGUCGAUCAAACCCAAUUGGUGAUCGGAGUGGUGGCCGGCCUUGUCAUCUCCACCGUGGUCAUUGGGCUAGCCUAUGGAAUUUGCAAGGGAAUAUCCAAGCAAGGCAGCCGGAACCGCGCCGAGAAUGAGAACGGUCCCUCUUUGGAGGAGACAAACAUGGACACCAACCAAAAUCCUGAAGAGUAAACAAACAUCUAAGCCACCUGCCAUCCUUUCGGAAUUUGAAAGUGAGAACAUGGAGCUUUGUACAUUUCUCCUCCCUACCUCAUCUUUUGGGAAAAGAAAACAAUUUAUGUUACAAACAAGGUAGCUUGGAAUUCAUUUCAGGGAGAAUGUAACGACAAAUCCAUUUCAACUCUUGGAGAAAAAAAAAUGUUUAAUGUAUGUGAUAUACAUAUGUUACUUGACAUAUUAUAGACAGUGUAGCUAUGUCGUCUGUUAGCGGUCAUGUUUUUUAAGAAGGAACUAUUGUUGGUUAGUUGCUGCAAGAUAAAGGGUAUUAUAAUACUGUGGGGCUGUGAGAUAUCAAUAGAACCGUUAUGUGGCAAGAUAACAAAUAUUGAUAAAGCUAACAACAACAAAAAAUCACAUUCAUGAGCAAUUAUCAAAAAUAGAUCAAAAAUUACGAACAUUUCCGAAAGUAUUCCGGAAACAGCCGAAUGGGGCGGAGACGUCACAACAAGGUAACAAAAGGUCGAGGCGGGUGCCAUCGUUGUUUAUCGACGAGAGAGUUGCGUUCGUGUUUUGUCAAAAAAUCGCUAAAAUGGUUCAAACCUGUCAUGCUAUGUGGUGUACAAAUAGCCAUUUGUCGCAAUGUAGUACUCAUGAGUUCCCGAACGCGAGAAAAAGAGCUGGACUAAGCAGACAAUGAGUAAAGUUUGUCCGUGCCAACAGGGCUAAUUUUGCAGACCCGGCCUCUGGCACGGUUUUGUGUGGUGCGCAUUUUACACCUGAAAGCUAUUCGAACUAUGGACAAAUGAAAUCAGGUUUUGCUAAGAAAUUGCUGCUGAAAGCAGAAGCGGUGCCCACCGUACACUCGCAGCCACCCUAAAUGUCCCGAGAUAUCAAGAAAGAGGACGAUGACUGGCUCUGAUGAGACCACCCCACCGCCACAGGCUAACCAAAGGAGCGGAGCAGCCAAGCUCGAAAUGGCCAGAGUGAGUACUCUUUUAUAAUAAAAAACAUAUCACACAUUGGCUAGGCAAGGCAAGGCAAGGCAAGGCAAAUUUAUUUAUAUAGCACAAUUCAACACAAGGCAAUUCAAAGUGCUUUACAUCACAUGAAGACCAUAAAAAUCACAUUUAAAUCAACACAACGUAAAAACCAAGACAAACGAUCGCAUUUAAUCACAGAAUAAAAAUAAAUAAAUAAAAAUAAAACAAAAAUAGAAAUAAAGCAAAAACUACUACUACUAAUAAUCAUUGAAAUCAGCAAUGGAGAUAAGCACAAGAGGAAUAGAAGGCAGGUAGAUUGAAAUAUAUAGACAGUUAUGGAUAUGCAGUGCUAAACAAAAGCGUUUUUAGCCCUGAUUUAAAGGAGCUAACAGUUUGAGCAUACUUCAGACGUUCGGGUAACUUGUUCCAGAGGUGAGGAGCAUAAUAACUAAAUGCUGCCUCACCCUGCUUGGUUCUUGUUCUUGGAACAUGCAGAAGACCCGUUCCAGACGACCUUAGGGGUCUCAUAGGAAUCUAACAAGUCAAGCAUGUAUUUUGGUCCAAGGCCAU
Molecule: long non-coding RNA, 2179 nt
Organism: Corythoichthys intestinalis (scribbled pipefish)
Lineage: Eukaryota; Metazoa; Chordata; Actinopteri; Syngnathiformes; Syngnathidae
Exons: 3
Source: RefSeq, a predicted model, not a curated record